UCUCAAUGAUGAAAACUUUGUCCAGUUCUGCUACUGACUUUAAGUGAUGAAAAGGUUGAUGUGU
RNAcentral lists this small nucleolar RNA (64 nucleotides) under Myotis brandtii (Brandt's bat). Lineage: Eukaryota; Metazoa; Chordata; Mammalia; Chiroptera; Vespertilionidae. The record is from RNAcentral.